Molecule: small RNA, 125 nt
Filed under: Marmota monax (woodchuck)
Lineage: Eukaryota; Metazoa; Chordata; Mammalia; Rodentia; Sciuridae
Source: RNAcentral
GCUAGGUGUAGUGGUGCACGCCUGUAAUCCCAGCAGCUUGGGAGGCUAAGAUAGGAGGAUUGUGAGUUCAGAGCCAGCCUCAGCAACAGCAAGAUGCUAACCAACUCAGUGAGACCCUGUCUCUA